Molecule: ribosomal RNA, 468 nt
Filed under: uncultured bacterium
Lineage: Bacteria
Description: partial 16S ribosomal RNA
Rfam family: Bacterial small subunit ribosomal RNA
Source: RNAcentral
GACGAACGCUGGCGGCGUGCUUAACACAUGCAAGUCGAACGGAAAGGCCCUGCUUUUGUGGGGUGCUCGAGUGGCGAACGGGUGAGUAACACGUGAGUAACCUGCCCUUGACUUUGGGAUAACUUCAGGAAACUGGGGCUAAUACCGGAUAGGAGCUCCUGCUGCAUGGUGGGGGUUGGAAAGUUUCGGCGGUUGGGGAUGGACUCGCGGCUUAUCAGCUUGUUGGUGGGGUAGUGGCUUACCAAGCCUUUGACGGGUAGCCGGCCUGAGAGGGUGACCGGCCACAUUGGGACUGAGAUACGGCCCAGACUCCUACGGGAGGCAACAGUGGGGAACAUUGCACAAUGGGCGGAAGCCUGAUGCAGCAACGCCGCGUGCGGGAUGACGGCCUUCGGGUUGUAAACCGCUUUCGCCUGUGACGAAGCGUGAGUGACGGUAAUGGGUAAAGAAGCACCGGCUAACUACGUG